Molecule: ribosomal RNA, 253 nt
Filed under: uncultured Armatimonadota bacterium
Lineage: Bacteria; Bacillati; Armatimonadota
Description: uncultured Armatimonadetes bacterium partial 16S ribosomal RNA
Rfam family: Bacterial small subunit ribosomal RNA
Source: RNAcentral
UACGUAGGGGGCAAGCGUUGUCCGGAUUUACUGGGCGUAAAGCGCGUGUAGGCGGAGAGGAAAGUCCGGUGUGAAAGCCCCCAGCUCAACUGGGGAAGGUCGCUGGAAACUGCCUUUCUUGAGGGCGACAGAGGGAAGUGGAAUUGCUGGUGUAACGGUGAAAUGUGUAGAUAUCAGCAGGAACACCCGUGGCGAAGGCGGCUUCCUGGGUCGGCCCUGACGCUGAGACGCGAAAGCGUGGGGAGCGAACGGG